RNAcentral lists this unclassified non-coding RNA (253 nucleotides) under uncultured Chitinophagaceae bacterium. Its description in RNAcentral is "contains 16S-23S intergenic spacer region". It matches the Rfam family "Bacterial small subunit ribosomal RNA", at positions 524 to 776 of the family's 1533-position model. Lineage: Bacteria; Pseudomonadati; Bacteroidota; Chitinophagia; Chitinophagales; Chitinophagaceae. The record is from RNAcentral.
UACGGAGGGUGCAAGCGUUAUCCGGAUUCACUGGGUUUAAAGGGUGCGUAGGCGGGUAAGUAAGUCCGUGGUGAAAUCCUGCAGCUUAACUGCAGAACUGCCGUGGAUACUAUUUAUCUUGAAUGUUGUUGAGGUGAGUGGAAUAUGUCAUGUAGCGGUGAAAUGCUUAGAGAUGACAUGGAACACCGAUUGCGAAGGCAGCUCGCUAAACAAAUAUUGACGCUGAGGCACGAAAGCGUGGGUAGCAAACAGG